Molecule: ribosomal RNA, 213 nt
Filed under: uncultured bacterium
Lineage: Bacteria
Description: partial 16S ribosomal RNA
Rfam family: Bacterial small subunit ribosomal RNA
Source: RNAcentral
CAGUUCGGACUGUGGUCUGCAACUCGACCACACGAAGCUGGAAUCGCUAGUAAUCGCGAAUCAGCAUGCCGCGGUGAAUAACGUUCCCGGGUCUUGUACACACUGCCCGUCACACCAUGGGAGUCGGAAAUGCCCGAAGUCUGUGACCCAACCGAAAGGAGGGAGCAGCCGAAGGCAGGUCGGAUGACUGGGGUGAAGUCGUAACAAGGUAUC